CCAAAAUGUACGCUAAUGUAGAUCCCAUAAAAGGUGUUGAUUCAUUUAGACAGCAGGACGGUGGUCAUGGAAGUCGAAAUCCGCUAAGAAGUGUGUAACAACUUACCUGCCGAAUGAAUUAGCCCUGAAAAUUGAUGGCGCUCAAGCGUACUACUUAUACUCUGCCGUCAAGACACACUCUAAAAAUGAAGUCUUGACGAGUAGGUGUGCGUGGAGGUUGCAGAGAAGCUUACCCCGUGAGGGGGAGUGUAGCAGCCUUUAGUGCAGAUCUUGGUGGUAGUAGCAAAUAUUCAAGUGAGAACCUUGAAGGCCGAAGUGGAGAAAGGUUUCGCGAGAACAGCAUUUGAUCGCGAGUCAGUCGAUCCUGAGGCACAGAUUAACCUCGUGAACAGCAUAAUUGGGCCCAAAGGGGGGGGAACGUACUUUUUUUGGUUCGU
This 437-nucleotide ribosomal RNA is filed under the name uncultured eukaryote. RNAcentral's name for it is "partial 28S ribosomal RNA". It matches the Rfam family "Eukaryotic large subunit ribosomal RNA", at positions 1188 to 1628 of the family's 3401-position model. The record is from RNAcentral.